Molecule: RNA transcript, 3474 nt
Organism: Rhododendron vialii
Lineage: Eukaryota; Viridiplantae; Streptophyta; Magnoliopsida; Ericales; Ericaceae
Exons: 15
Source: RefSeq, a predicted model, not a curated record
CCAAUUUUCCGAUCCACAGCUCGAUUAGCCCGUUAUUAGUCCGCCCGCAUCUCUUUUCCAGCGCAUUUCAAUUUUCCGACCCACAGCUCGAACCUUGUCCAACCAACCCUAAACCCAAAAUCGAUUCUCCCCCCUCCAAAACCGGCAUAUACCCUAAACCCCUUUCUCUCUCUCUCUCUCCCUCUCUCAGCAACUCAUUCAUGGCGAAGAAAUCAGACGCCACGAAGAACAGCAGUGCGAGCAGCAAUGACAAGAAGAAGAAGAAAAACAAGAAGAGCAAACCCGGCGGUCCCACCGCCGUGGCCAUGAAGCAGCCUAGAGCCCCCAAACCGAACCCCUUCGAGACCAUCUGGUCCAGGCGCAAAUUCGACGUGCUCGGAAAGAAGCGGAAGGGCGAGGAGCAACGCAUCGGCCUCGCUCGCUCCAUUGCCAUCCGAAAGAGGGAGAAGACAUUGUUGAAGGAGUAUGAGCAGAGUGGAAAGUCAUCGGUGUUUAUCGAUAAGCGUAUCGGGGAGCAAAAUGAUGAGCUUGGUGAGUUCGACAAGGCCAUAUUGAGGUCACAGCGCGAGCGCCAGCUGAAAUUGAACAAGAAGAGCAAGUAUAACUUAUCAGAUGGGGAAGAAGACGAAUUUGACAAUCAAAAUGGACUUCAAGGAAGGGAUGAUUUCGAGGAUGAAGUACCAUUUGAUGAGGAGGACGAUGUCGAAGAUCCUGAUACUGAGAAGAAGUCUUCAAUUUUGAAACAACUCAAUGGCACCGAUGCUUUGAAUGCACUGAAGUCAGGUUUCAUCGAAGGAGAGGAAAAUAGGCACAAAACUAAAAAGGAAGUGAUGGAGGAGAUCAUUUCUAAGAGUAAAUACUUCAAGGCCGAGAAGGCUAAAGAAAAGGAAGAAAAUGAACAGCUGGUAGAAGAAUUGGACAAAAAUUUCACAUCCCUAGUGGAGUCUAGGGCAUUGUUAUCUUUGACUCAACCAGACAAGAUGAAUGCUUUGAAGGCUUUGGUGAAUAAAAGUAUUUCGAGCGAGAAUGUCAAGAAGGAUAUUGCAAUUGUUCCUCAGAACAUAGAUACACUUCAGCAGGAUAAACCUGAUUCUUAUGACAAACUUGUCAAAGAGAUGGGAUUGGACAUGCGUGCUCGCCCAUCAGAAAGGACAAAGACACCAGAGGAAAUUGCCCAAGAUGAGAAAGAGAGGCUAGAGCAAUUGGAGGAAAAGCGUCAGAAGAGGAUGCUUGCUGCUGAUGAUUCCAGUGAUGAGGACGAAAAUGCUUAUGAAGUUGUUGCCCAGAGGCCAAAGUCUAUUUCUGGGGAUGACCUUGGCGAUUCUUUCUCUCUUGAUGAAGAGAGAAGAACUAAAAGGAAUUGGAUUGAGCAGAUUCUGGAGAGGAAAAUUAAGAAUGAUGGUGGAAGUGAACAUGAAAUGUCUUCUGAGGAUCCAGAGAGUGACGAGGAUGAUGGUGAUGAAGAAGGAACUGAUGAAGACAGUGAUGAAGAUGAUAAGACUAACUCUUUGAAGGACUGGGAACAGAGUGAUGACGACAAUGUUGGUACAGAUUUGGAAGGAGACGAAGGAGAAGAAGAGGAUGGAGGUGAUGAAGAGAUGGAGCCAAAACACUCUAAAAAGGGAGGACUGAUUGGCCCAAUAGUACAUCCUGAGAAAACCAAAGGAAAUGGUAAGAUGCCUUCAAGUCAACCAGGGGAGCUUCCCUACGUCAUAGCUGCUCCAAAAAGCUUGGAAGAAUUAUCUGCAUUGUUUGAGAAUCGUUCUGAUAGCCAAAUUGUUGAAGCAAUCAGGCGAAUACGCACCUGUAAUGCAAUCAGCAUUGCUGCAGAAAAUCGGAAGAAAAUGCAAAUGUUUUAUGGUGUUCUACUGCAGUUUUUUGCUGUUACAGCAAAUAAAAGACCAUUGAAUUUCAAGUUAUUAAAUUUGCUUGUCAAGCCAUUGAUGGAGAUGAGUAGGGAGAUUCCAUACUUUGCCGCCAUUUGUGCUCGUCAACGCCUACUCCGGACUCGAACACAGUUCUGUGAGGAUGUCAAGAAUCCAGAAAAAAGCUGUUGGCCGUCUCUGAAAACAUUAUUGCUCUUAAGGCUUUGGUCCAUGAUAUUUCCAUGCUCUGAUUUUCGACAUGCUGUCAUGACCCCAGCGGUAUUGUUGAUGUGUGAAUAUUUGAUGCGUUGUCCCAUUAUGUCUGGGCGGGAUAUUGCUCUUGGUUCCUUUCUCUGCUCUAUGGUCCUCUCUGUCACUAAACAAUCUCGAAAGUACUGUUCUGAGGCCAUUACUUUCAUUCAUACCUUGCUGAUGGCAGCAAUGUACAGAAAACCUGGAAGAAUUCAGGAUUCUCAGCAGUGGCAUCAUUUUAUGGAAAUUAAAACACCCAGCCCUCUGCUUUGUAUACAUACAUGUGUGAAAAAGAUCAGUCCUCUGGAUUUCUUCAAGUUAAUGGACAUGCCUGAGGAUUCCCCUUUCUUCAGCUCUGAUAAUUUCAGGGCCAGCACUCUUGCAUCUGUAAUUGAAACUCUCCGAGGAUUUGUUAACGCUUGUGAAGGAUUUAGCUCCUUCCCGGAAAUAUUCUCACCAAUUUCAAAAUUAUUAACUGAAUUGGCAGAACAAGAACACAUGCCUUGUGCUUUACGAGAUAACAUCAGAGAUGUUUUCCAACUUAUAGAGAAGAAAGUCCAAGAACAUCAAAUGCUGCGUUGCCCGCUGCAGAUGCGAAAGCAAAAGCCAGUGCCUAUUAAAUUGCUCAAUCCGAAGUUUGAGGAGAACUUUGUAAAGGGCAGAGAUUAUGACCCAAAUCGUGAACGAGCUGAGAUGAAAAAGUUAAAGAGGCAUGUAAGACGGGAAGCUCAUGGUGCAGCCCGUGAACUGAGGAAAGAUAAUCACUUCCUAUCUGCAAGGAAGGAUAAAGAAAAGGCACAACUAGAGGAAGAAAGAGCUGAGAAGUACGGAAAAGCAAAAGCUUUCCUCCAAGAACAAGAACAUGCAUUCAAAUCUGGGCAAUUGGGAAAGGGUAAGAAGAGGAGUAGAUGAUGCUGGCUUUGGAUGGUGCCUUAUGAUACUGCUUCCCUCGGUCGCGGUGUCCAUGCUACUGUAGGUAUUGCUUGCUUCCUUCCAGGAGUUGCUGCCGAAUUUGUUGGUGGAACCACUGUAGUAAGUUACCUUUUAAACCUAAUCUCAACAAAAUUUGGCAGUGUUGUCCAUUGCUUCUUGGAAAGAAUAGCCUCGACUGGAGAAAUCAAUCACAUGUACUGAUGGUGCCCUUGCGAAUUUAUGUAUAAUUGAUGUAGUUGUGGAGAAUUUGCCAUAUCAAUUUUGACCAGUUGAUUAUAGGUUUAUUAUGAAUUGUGGAGAAUUCGCCAUAUAAAUUUUGGCCAGUUGAUUAUAGGUUUCUUAUGAAGAUACAAACUGAGGUAGCACUACGCAUGCUGUUACUAUAUUUUUUAUAGUUUUUUUUUUUCAAGUGAUACGUUCAUCA